This 27-nucleotide non-coding RNA is filed under the name Mus musculus (house mouse). The record is from RNAcentral. Lineage: Eukaryota; Metazoa; Chordata; Mammalia; Rodentia; Muridae.
AGUUGAAACUGUUCCCAACAAGGUGCU